RNAcentral lists this ribosomal RNA (190 nucleotides) under uncultured bacterium. RNAcentral describes it as "partial 16S ribosomal RNA". It matches the Rfam family "Bacterial small subunit ribosomal RNA", at positions 1312 to 1500 of the family's 1533-position model. The record is from RNAcentral.
UCGCCUACCAUGAAGUCGGAAUCGCUAGUAAUCGCGGAUCAGCAUGCCGCGGUGAAUACGUUCCCGGGCCUUGUACACACCGCCCGUCACACCAUGAGAGUUUGUAACACCCAAAGCCGGUGGGGUAACCUUUUGGAGCCAGCCGUCUAAGGUGGGACAGAUGAUUGGGGUGAAGUCGUAACAAGGUACC